This 6700-nucleotide long non-coding RNA is filed under the name Gossypium raimondii (Peruvian cotton). RNAcentral's name for it is "long non-coding RNA (GRAI_LNC007905)". The record is from RNAcentral. Lineage: Eukaryota; Viridiplantae; Streptophyta; Magnoliopsida; Malvales; Malvaceae.
AAGGAGCUUACGGGACGGUUUUCAAAGGGGUGAUAUUCGAUGGCGAAAGAACAGUAGCCGUCAAGAGACUGGAAAAAGUGGUGGCCGAAGGUGAAAGAGAUUUCCUGAAUGAAAUGAAAGCCAUCGGGAAAACACAUCACAAGAACCUCGUUCGAUUGCUCGGUUAUUGCUACGACGGGACUAAUAGGCUUCUGGUUUACGAGUACAUGAAAAACGGUUCUCUUGCAGAUUUUCUUUUCAAAUCGAGAUUAAAGGUAAAUUGGGAAAGAAGAGUCGAAGUAGUAUUGAGUAUAGCGAGAGGACUUUGUUACUUGCAUGAAGAAUGCGAGACUCGGAUUAUCCAUUGCGAUAUCAAACCCGAAAACAUCCUAAUGGACGACAAAGGGUACGCGAAAAUUGCAGAUUUUGGAGUAGCCAAGCUAUUGAUGCCUAACCAAUCUAGGACAUACACCGAAAUCCGAGGGACGAGGGGAUACGUUGCCCCAGAGUGGCAUCGAAACUUACCAAUAACCGUGAAAGCCGAUGUUUAUAGCUUCGGAAUAAUGCUGUUCGAGAUCAUUUGUUGUAGAAGGAGUAUGGAAACGGAUGUUCCGGAAAACGAACAAGUUCUUGCAUACUGGGCACAUGAUUGUUUCAAGGCUAAUGAAGUGGAGAAGCUGGUGCAAAAUGAAUUUGUGGAGAAGAGUAAAUUGGAGAAGAUGGUUAAGGUCGGAUUAUGGUGCACCCAAGAUGAAGCAUCGUCUCGACCGUCGAUGAAAAGGGUUAUCUUGAUGCUAGAAGGGACGGUUAAUAUACCCGAUCCUCCACUCCUUAGCUCCUUUGUUAGUUCUCCUUAGAUCAUGUUUGUGGCACAAGUUAAGACUUUUAACUUUGCCAAGCGUAAAAACCAUAGUGUCCAUGCUUAUAUAGUUGUGAAUUACACUGAUGAAUCACAGCAGGUAUAUACAUAUUUAUAUAUGUAUAUAUUAUCAGCCUGAUGAAAUUUACAGUGUAAUCAAUAAAUUUUUCUAUAAUAUUAGAACAGAGGAAGAUGUUUAGAUUUUGAAUCUUGAAUUUAUUUAAUCCUUCUUAAGAGAUAAGAAUAUAUCUUCAGUUAAUUCGGUUUUUAUAUAUCAAGAAUCUAAUGAACCAACUAAACUAAUAUAAUUGAAUUAACCAAACUGAGUUGAAUGCUAUUAUUUUCCUAUUUAUGGGUGAGGAAGAGAUUAUAAAUAAUUCUAAGCAUAUUUUAAAUUAAUCAUUGAUCUUCGAAAUAUUCUAAUUAAAUCUUUAACCUAUCGCAAUUGUUAAAUUACGUUAUUGCCUUUAAUAUAUAUUAUUAACCCAAAUCCAAACAUAAUUAUUGAGUCAAGCUUGAACUUAAGAACAAAUAUUGGCAAACAAGCUUAAUCGAGCUUGAGUAGCUCGGUUUUAUCUUGAAUAGAGCUCGAGCUUAGAAAUAGAUGUUCGAUCGAGCUUGAGGCAUGUAUCGAGCUCUGAAUUUCGAGUCAAGCUCACUGCUUGAUUUCACCCCUAUGUCAGAUCCCAUUUAGAUCCAACAUGAAUCAUAAUUUUAAACAUGUGGAUCAAAUUAUAAAUACGUGUAUUUAUAUGAACAAUUUGGAUCUAAUUGUUAAAAACAGUGUAAAUAAUUUUAUAUUUGUAUAAAAUAUCGUAAUAUUUUUUGUUCGGAGAACAAAUUAAAUUAAAAUAUAAUAAAACAAGUCAAUUGGUAAUUAUUUGACCAUGCACUUAAAAUUCCAUUUGUUUGCAUUUCUUUUUCUUGGAAUCUAAUUUGUUUAUGCUUACCAAUAGCCUGACUCUUUGUGCAUUUGUUUGCUGUCUGAAUGUCAAUUCAUUUAGGCUGUUUUUGUGUAUUUUUGUUCGGGUGUAAAUGAGAUACCGGUAUUCGUAAAUUAUUUGAGUUCAAUUUGAAAAAAUUCGAAUUGAAUUCGGCAAUUAUCGAGUUUAGCUUGAGGUAUCAAUCGAGCUGAAUUCAAGUUUAGUAUUAAUUUGUUCAAUUAGAUUAAUCUAAUUAAUUGAAUCAUGAACCAGGGGCGGCGUCGGGGGGUUGGCAAGGGCCUUGCCCCCCAAAAUGGGAAAUUUUGACUUUUGACCCUUUACAAUUUAUAAAAUUUUAAGUUAGUAUAGGUAAAGUUACACUUUGACACCCAAAAUGACAAAAUUUUGAUUUAAUCCUUUAGAAUUAUAAACAUAUGGACUAUUAAAAUGAAAAAAAAAAUUACAUUUUAACUUUCAUAAAAAUAUACAAUUUAAUUUCGACUCUUCUAAAAAAAAUUUUCUAGCUUCAUCUCUACUGUAAAUUAAUAGUUUAACUGAUCUGAUUACAAAUUCGAUUUCGAAAAUCUUGAUCGUGUGGCAUGUAAAGGUUCUCAAAGCAUGAAACAUGGAUAAAAAAUGACUUCCAUGCAUACUUUUGGGAUUAAUAUGUAUAUAUAAUGAACUUAAUUAGUGGGAUAUUUGUGCUUUGACUAAUGUAUAUAUUUGGUGUUUUGAACAUACAUAUCUGCCUAUGAUUAUUUUUAAUGUAUAUGUUGUGUGGUUGGAAUUGAAUCGAUUCGGUUGGUUAGAUCGGAAAUUGGUUAAAAAUAUUAUUUUUAAAAUUUAAAAAAAAAAUAUUUUAAAAAAAUGAUUUUUAUAGAUAUCCGAUCACACUUAGUUAAAAAGAUCAUUAGUGUAUAGUAAUACUAUGAAUGAACCAAUAUUGAAUAUUGGUAACAAUAUCAGCAAAAGAACGUUCUUCUGUGUUUCCAGACAUGCCGAGCUCCACAUAUUCUUGUAGGGGAUCGAUUCUGUAAAAGAUGGGAUCAGUAAACGGGAAUUCAUCGAAAUUCAAUCUUUGUGAGAUUGUUAAUAUUGUACCAAAUGUAUUUUUAGAGUAUACCGAAUCAGUAUAGCUAUCCUUCCUCGGACACAACAACACAAUUUCAAAUAGUGAUAAUUGCUUUUUUAAUAAAAAUCUUGUGUUUUAAAAGUUAAAUUGUUCAUAUAUUUUUAAAUUAUUAAUCUAAUUUGACCACUGAUCAAGAUAAGAAAACCUUAACGAUUAGUAUGGAGAACUACAUUGUUACUAUAAUGGCUUUUUUAGAACGCCAAUGCGAUACAAACAUCAAUGGAUGCACAGCAUAAGUCAGCCAAACGUUGCUUUACACUACAAUUAAGAGAAGAAAAAAAGGAGAGGGAAAAAAAAGGCUGUCUCGAGUUUGAACUUAUGACCAAAAUUUUCAGAAUCGGAUCAACGAUCAAAUUGGUCUAGUUAUUAAUUUUAUUGGUUUGUAUGGUUUGAUUAAAUAAAUUAUUGAAAAAUUUAAAAUAAAAAUAAAAAUUCCUAUUCAACCUGUGUUUUGCCUAGCUCAACCAAUUUGUACUUAUUCCCAGGUCAACCAGUCUAAUAACUUUUUUCCGGACCGGUGAUCAAUUGCUUAGGCUACUAGUUCGUUGGUCCAAUCAAUUCGAUUAAAUAAAUCAUUAAAGAUAAAACAAAAUAAAUCCAUUCAACCAGUUCAAUUGGUUUUUUGCUUGGUAUUACUAAUCCGUACUGGUUCCCAAUUCAACCAGUCUAAUAAAUUUCUUUCGAUCGGUGGUCAAAUUGUUCAAUCCACUAGUUUACUGUCCACUCAAUUCGAUUAAAUAAAUAAUAAAAAUAUUAAAAAUAAAUAUCCGAUUCAACCACCCAAUUCAAUCAAUUUUUUAUUUGAUUUAACUGAUCCAUAUCGAUCCUCAAAUCAACCAAUCUAAUAACUUCCUUCGUUACAUCUUAAUCAAACAUCUUUUUUUUUUAAAUUUAAAUCUCGUUAUAGAUUUUUAUUAUAUCUGAUUUUUUUAUACAAUUCUAAAAUUACUUAUAACCCCUUUUCAACUCUUAAAUAGGAAGACUCGAACCUAUAUCUUUUUAUACUGAAAAUAAUAUCGAUGCUAUUCAAAUAUACUUGUCUAUAAGAACCGAAGACUUGAAAAAAGGGCAGUAGGUUAAUUGACAACAAAUUAGUACCGUUGGUCAACCAAAGAAAAAGACGGUAGAAAAGUCCUUAAUCGUGAACUCAAGGCGUGUAUUUUGUAACGACUUAAAAAGACUUUGAAAGUUCAAAUUCUAUUAUUAGUCCUUGUAAAUUAUGGAUUUAAUCCUUAUUUUAUUUUUUUAUUAAUUUUAGUCUUUAUAUUUUUCGUAUUUUAAAAUUUCAGUCCUAACUUAAAUUACAGCCUUUACAUCGACUAGGUAAAAAUUCUGCUAUUAGUCUUGUUCUAUGCAUAAACAGUGGGUUGAAAUUCCAGUCAUGGUUAAAAACAACCGUCACUAAAUUCAAUAACUAAAAAUGUGGCUUUUUUUGUGUGUGUAUGAAUAUUACGUGAAAAUAACAAUCAGGCAUAACGUUGCACAUAUACUAAUAUAAUUGGCGCAUAAUAUUUUAAAAAUAGUAAAAUAUAACGAUUAUUGUUUGGCCAAGACUAGAAUUUCAAAAUAAAAAAAGUGAAGGUAAAAAACAAGGGUUAAAUAUCAAAUUUAUACACGAACUUUGAUCCAAUAUGUAAUUUAAUACAUGAGUAUUUAUUUAGUGCAUUUAUACACAUGAAACUUGAAUUGUGGUUUAUAUAUAUAUGAAACUUUGAUUUUGAUUCAAUUGUAUACGUUUUAAAAAAUGAAUAUAUAUAAUUAUUUUUAUUUUGGAUUAAUAUAAUUAUUUGUGUAUGUAAUAUAUUAACAUAAAAUUAUGCUAAUUCGAUAAUGUUAUUAGUGGUUCGUGAAAAUUAAUCAAAUUAAAUUUUCAUGUAUAAAAUCACAAAAAAAUAAUGUUCAUGUAUCAAAUUGUACAUUGCAUCAAAAUUCAUGUAUGAUUUUAAUAUUUAUCUCAUCUAAAAAAAGUUUAAGUACAAGGACUAAAUCGAUAAUUUAGACUAAUCCUCCUAAUGCACUAUUGACAAGGGAUCGCAUUUACUGUUUUUCCUUACAAGCACUGCAAAAAAAAAAAAAAAAAGCACAAGCUCUAUCUUCCACUUUAAUGGCGUAUCUUGUUCUUCUUCUUCUUUUGAAUUUUGUAUUUAAUGCAACAAAUGCUCAAUCAACAAGCUCUAUUAUCAAACCAGGUUCUUCUCUUUCACCCAUUAAUAAUUCAUAUUUGCUAUCGCCGUCCGGCCAGUUCGCUUUCGGUUUCUACCGAUACAAAAACGGCUACUCCGUAGGCAUAUGGUUCGAAAACAUCCAGCAGAAAACAAUUGUAUGGACGGCUAACCGAGAUGCCUCGCCGUUCCCUAGCGAUGUCACAUUGGUUUUAACCACCGAAGGUACCCUUAUUGUUCGACAAAAGCAAGGUCAAGACGUACUCAUUGCCGAUACUAGCAGUGAUAACGUGUCACGGUUAGCAACUUCGGCCUCGAUGCUCGAUUCGGGUAACUUUGUUUUGUUGAAUUCGAGUGGUGGGAUCGUAUGGAAGAGUUUUGAUUUCCCGACCGAUACCAUUUUACCAGGACAACGUGUAGCGGUGACCGGUAAGCUCGUUUCGAGUGUUGCCGAGUCGGAUCAUGGUAACGGAAAAUUUCUAAUUCUUAUGCAAAGUGAUGGGGAUUUGGUUCAAUUCCCUGUUGAAGCAGUGGAACUUGGUGCUGCUUAUUGGGCUACUAACACAUUUAAUGCUGGAUAUGGUGUGAGCUUGAAUCUUGAUGGUAAUGGUCACCUAUAUUUGUUAAAUGAUACCGGGUUCAACAUCAAAAGUAUUAAUAAGAACUACGUUAAUGCCUCGGGUAAGUCCGUGUAUCGUGCAACAAUCGAUACGGAUGGUAUAUUUCGAUUGUACUCACAUAGUUCUAACCGAUUUGAUGAUUGGUACACCGAAUGGUCAUCCUCUAAUGAUAGAUGUAAUCCUUUGGGCUUGUGCGGUGAGAAUAGUUAUUGUGUUAUGAUGGAUGGGGAACCCAUUUGUCGAUGUCCUCCUCAUUUCAAUUUUAUCAACGAGAAGCGACAGGAAUUGGGUUGCCGAAAGAACUAUAGUUUAGUUGCUUGUGACACAAGAAAUGACCAAACUUUUGAUUUUCUUGAGGUGAAUGAUGUGUCUUGGAAAGAUGAUGCGUAUUUGAGUCUCUCGUCGAUGACAAAGAACAGUUGUAGGGUCGAGUGUUAUCGAGAUUGUAGUUGCGAAGCCGCUGUCUUAGAGAACGAGUCGUGUAAAAUGAUGAAGUUGCCGUUUAGGUUUGGGAAAAGAGUAUUAAGUGGUCAAGUUACUGCAUUUUUAAAGAUUGGUGGAGAACUUGCUGGUGUUGGGACAAGGAAAAGGAAAAGGAAGCUAAGAAUGGAUAUGUUAAUCAUUAGUGUUGCCAUGGCAUGCUUGACGCUUGGGUUUCUAGUUGUAGCAACGAUCGGCGUUCGAAAGCAUCGUGCUCAUGUUCGAAAAUACAAGCGUGUUUUGCGUUUGGUAAACAAUCGAGUUGCUGAAGAUGUUGCCUUGAAAUCAUUUUCCUUCGAGGAGCUUAAAGAUGCAACCAACAAUUUUGUGGACGUGAUCGGUAAAGGAGCUUACGGGACGGUUUUCAAAGGGGUGAUAUUCGAUGGCGAAAGAACAGUAGCCGUCAAGAGACUGGAAAAAGUGGUGGCCGAAGGUGAAAGCGAUUUCCUGAAUGAAAUGAAAGCCAUCGGGAAAACACAUCACAAGAACCUCGUUCGAUUGCUCGGUUAUUGCUACGACGGGACUAAUAGGCUUCUGGUUUACGA